Molecule: ribosomal RNA, 409 nt
Filed under: uncultured Pseudomonadota bacterium
Lineage: Bacteria; Pseudomonadati; Pseudomonadota
Description: bacterial SSU rRNA
Rfam family: Bacterial small subunit ribosomal RNA
Source: RNAcentral
UGUCAGCCGCCGCGGUAAUCCGAAGGGUGCUAGCGUUGUUCGGAAUUAUUGGGCGUAAAGCGUACGUAGGCGGUUUAGUAAGUCGAUUGUGAAAUACCCGAGCUCAACUUGGGAAUUGCAAUCGAAACUGCUUGGCUAGAGUUUAGUGGGGGAUAGUGGAAUUCCUAGUGUAGGGGUGAAAUCCGUAGAUAUUAGGAGGAACAUCAGUGGCGAAGGCGACUAUCUACGCUAAUACUGACGCUAAGGUACGAAAGCGUGGGGAGCAAACAGGAUUAGAUACCCUGGUAGUCCACGCAGUAAACGAUGAGUGCUAGUUGUCGGGGUCUUAGACUUCGGUGGCGAAGCUAACGCGUUAAGCACUCCGCCUGGGGACUACGGUCGCAAGACUAAAACUUAAAUGAAUUGACGG